Molecule: RNA transcript, 9712 nt
Organism: Scylla paramamosain (green mud crab)
Lineage: Eukaryota; Metazoa; Arthropoda; Malacostraca; Decapoda; Portunidae
Gene name: mitochondrial inner membrane protease subunit 1-like
Exons: 10
Source: RefSeq, a predicted model, not a curated record
AUGUGUGCGUCCGUCAAUCUUUCGCAGCUACGCCUUUCCGUGAGGCGGCUGGAGCAGGAAAUCGCCGAGCCGUGCUGCAGAGAGGAAAGGAUGGCAGGUGGUGCCGCGGUGAACACUCCCAACACAUGCAGGAGGAAAGAAAGGAUGGCAGGUGGUGCCGCGGUGAACACUCCCAACACAUGCAGGAGGAAAGAAAGGAUGGCAGGUGGUGCCGCGGUGAACACUCCCAACACAUGCAGGAGGAAAAGCCAAGAAGAAAUAUAAUACAGACAAGAGACAAUGCAUGAAGACAGAUGAGGGAUCUCCAAACAAGAAGAUGGAUAAUGUGAACACAGCUACUGUGCUCGCCAUCAUUUCUCAAGAGUUAGACUCUUCAGAAUUCUGGGAACUGACAGACCAGGAACCAAGAAUGGUGGUGGUAACUGGUGAGCUGAGCUAAGGGAAGAAAUUCAGCGCGUCUAAGAGUCAUGAUCCGCACCACCACCCGCAUGUACAGCUACCUAGGCAGGUGGCUUGGGGUGGCUGGCUACAUGAUACAGUAUGGAUGCAUUGCCCACUGUACUCUUGAGUUUGUGGGUGACUUUGUUGUGUGUCGUGGACCCUCUAUGGAGCCAACAAUCUACUCUGAGGACGUAAUACUGACAGAACACAUUACUCCUCGUUUCAACCGCAUUAGUCGUGGAGAUGUAAUCAUUGCUCGCUCUCCUACCAACCCCCAUCACCACAUCUGCAAGCGUGUUACUGGUCUGGAAGGGGACAGAGUCAAGGAUGGAUUUAAGACACAUUAUGUUCCCAAAAGUCACGUGUGGCUGGAGGGAGACAACCAUAACAACUCAACUGACUCCCGUAACUUUGGCUCGGUACCAGCUGGGUUGAUCCGAGGGCGAGCAGUGUUCAGGGUGUGGCCGCUCUCUGACCUGGGUCUGCUGGACUCUUCCUACUCUUCUUCCUCCUCAGCCCAGAAGUGGGAGGUGGAUCAAUGAUGAAAUGUUCCAGUAGAGGAGAUUAUUAUUGCUCCCUUUUUCUAACCAUCCUGAUUUUCUCAACUGCUGUAACUUACAUGGGACUGGUGGGAUGAAGUCUGCGUGCCUGCCAGUACACACACACACACACACACACACACACACACACACACACACACACACACACACACACACACACACACACACACACACACACACACACACACACACACACAUACAAGUAUUGAUGUAUGGAACAGUCUGGAUGAGGAGAUAGUAAAUGCAGAAAGUAUACAUGGAUUCAAGGCGAAGUUGGAUAUUAAAAGAUAUGGAGAUGGGACAGCAUGAGCAUAGCUCUUUUCCCAUAAAGCACAACUAGGUAAAUACAACUAGGUAAACACGCACACACACACACACACACACACUUACACAUAAGAGAGUGGUACAUGUAAGAAAUGCUCAUGACUUUAAUACAUACAGACACAUGCUAUUUGGAGCUAUUUUUUUUUUCCACUUCAAUGCUGAGCCUCCCUCCUCCCCGUCUUUUUUUUUUUUACUGUAUAAAUCAAUUGAAAAUUCUGUAAAAACUAAGGAGAAAAGUUAUAAUAACACUCAUCACGGCCUAUUUUUACCUUUAUGGGAGAUGCUUAUAGAGUGCACUAUGGUGCAUCCUCCAGCCCAGCUGCCAACCUCCCUCAUCUUGUAUGCCACUUUGACAUUGUAUUAUUCUUGCUUGAGUGUUGUUUGUAAGCAGUAUGAUUGCCUCUUUGACUACAUACAUGUACAACUGUGUGAGAUAUAUAAAGAUAACUAUACGGUGGUCCCCCAUUCGUUACUAGUAUUAGGGGACAGCAACCACUAUGUUGAGCAGAAAUCUGCAAUAUUUUUCCAUCCCCCCUAAAGAGAUACAGAAAUUACAUUUCAACACCUUGCAACCUCCUAAAAAGAUCUGUAUUGGCCAGUAAAAUAAAUACUAAACAAUAAAUGCUAAACAACAACCAUUAGUGGCAGCAGGGGUGAUCUAGAGCUGGAGUCACGGGCUUCAUAACCUCUUUCAGCAAGCUCCUCUGUGAAACAAGUGAAAAAAGAAAGCAAGUGGCUAGAAGUAGAAGAGUAUGGUAAUGACAAUGAAAGACAGCAUCUUGCUUGACCAGUAAACAAGGAGAGAACAGGGUAGAGAGGAAGUAUGUCAGGCUAGAAAUUAAAGGAAGCACAAGGAAUGGGAUAUGCUGUUACUCAUACAUAAAAAGGUGUGUUGUGGUUUCCUUCAUGUAAGAUGAAAAUAGUGGUGGUGUCCCACUAACGAGAUUUGUCAGGUAUACUUCCCAGUGGUGCUGUGUGUGUGUGUGUGUGUGUGUGUGUGUGUGUGUGUGUGUGUGUGUGUGUGUGUGUGUGUAUGCUAUAUUAUUCUGUGUUUUAAUUUUUUUUCAUAUAUCCUUAAUUCAUUAAAUUGAUAGAUAUAAGCUUUUCCAUAAGAAAAAUCUUGGAAUGGAAAUGCACAAUCUUAUUUUGUAAUUAUUGUUGUUACUGCUGUGGCUGGAAUGAGGCAGUGGGCCAGUGGUGCAGUGUGCGAGUCUCAUCAGUGGAAGGGUAGUGCUGGUCUGUGGAAAGUUAGAGAAACGCAGAAGGGAGCGUGUUUGGUACUCGGCACCAAAAAAAUAAUAAAUAAUAAAUAAAAUAAAAAAAUCCAAAGCCAAUAACCAUGUAAAAAUAGGGGCUGCAUUGAUUGAACCAGUGAUGAGCAGGUGUCCACUAUGUGGACACUAUUUCUCUGUGUAAAUUUGUACCAUACUUUCACAAUUAUUCUUGUAUCUGUUGAUCUUACCGUCAUUUUCAUUAUUGUUUUGGUAAUAAUGUGUAAGAAACACAAAGUAUUUUUGAUAUAGGUUAUGAUGGGAUUUCAACUUCAGCCAGCUCAUCCUGAGUUGGUUCAUAGUCAUCCCCAGAUGACUCAGACUCACUGAGCUCAUAAUCAGAGUUCAGAAGUAUGUUCAGUGCCUCAAGGGCAGAAAGAGUGGAGUGGCAGCAGUCAGACAUGGCAUAAACAUUCCUGACUACUGACAAGGAUUCCAUCACCAUGGCACAUGGGUAGAGUGGGUGGGCAGUGAACACCUCUUGAAAUAUGGGUUUCUGCAGAGGGAAAUACUGCAGUGGUGUAAUGAACUUUUAUUUCGGGUGAAGGAGAUGAAGAUGAUAAAGAAGGAAGAACAAAGGAAAAGAAGAAGGAACAGAAGGAAGAAUAUGAAAGGAAAGAAGAGAAAGAAGGGAAAAAAAGAAAUGGAAGAAGGAAAAAAAUUAAGGAAGUAGAAAAAGAUGACAAAAAAAUAUACAGUGAUUGAACUAAUAUAAAUAGUAGCCAUCUUGUUUUGUUGAUGAAAAGUAUCGCAGAAGAAAUAGUUUUUAAUCCAAACCCACCAGAUGCUCCUUUACCUGUAUAACUCAUAACUUGAAUAAUUUAAAUUUGUUACAUAUUUUCAAAUUACUGUUGACAUUUUAUAAGUUGUAACACAAGUUUCUGCAGAUAUUGGUUUGAGGUGAAAGUACAAGUUAUUCUAAGAAAAUGUUCAAUGCUCUUAUGCAUUUUAAGGCCUUGUUUGGCCAUGGUAUAAAAUUCCAGUGUGACAGAUGAACAGAUGGAUGGCAUAUCUGCAUACUCCACAUUACUUAAGCAUAUGGCAUUGCUGAGUUUUUUUUUUUUUUUUCAAAAUUGUCAGAACUAUUGUUCCAACAGGAUAAUUUAUCAUGGUGGCUAACAAUUUCAAUUUAGAUAUAAAGAUCCAGUCUCUAAAAGCCUGAUCAUAAUAUUACUAGCCUCAAACAAUUUAUGGGAAGAUGUAAAAGCUUACAUAAGUCUCUCACUGCACAUAAUAUCAAUAGAGAUGAAAUGUGUUUCAUAUUCCUCAUAAAUUACUUACUAUCCCCUGUAAAGGAAAUAUAAAAAGGGUGCUGAAGGAAAACAUGUUAAAUAUAGAGGAAGUUCUGGAUUGUUUGAGAAAUGAAGUAUUCACAAUUGAGAGUAGUACAUCAAUAGUUGAGAGUAAUGCAUCCAUAGCUAAGAUGGAAAUAGAACAUUAUGCAGAUAGAUUCAAUAUAGGACAAAAGAGGGAAGAGAAGCUUAAAAUUCAAUGUAAAUUAUGCCACAGACAAAAUCAUCCAUGGUUCAAAUGCCACAAAUACAGAUCCUGAUUCAGAGGAUAAUGUAAUGGAUGUUUGGAACCUGAGCACUACAAUAAAGGCUGCACAAAUCCUAACAUAAAAAAAUGCAAAUUUUGCAAAAAGAAACACUGCCAUUCCCUUUGUUUAAAAUCUAAAUCAACAAAUCCCAAAGAAAGGACUAUCUUAACUACUACACUAAUAUUACUCCUUGUAGCAAAAGGAGGUAAGAACACUAAGUUAAGGGCCUUGUUAGACCAGUGUUCACAAAAAAAUUUUGUCCUCAAGUCCUCUUUGGCCAUAAUAAAGUAUAAAUUGAUUGACAAAGAAACCCUAAUGCUACAGGUGAUCAGAUAAACAGGGAUUUUAUAAAGAAAGUGAAUAUGCAUAACAAUAACCAUCAUGCUCUUCACUAUUUAUCACAUCAUGGCAUGAAAAAAGAUAGCAUAACCACUCCAGUUAGAAUAGACUAUGAUUGUUCAGCUAAACAAUCCCCUAAUUCAUUAAGCCUCAAUGACUGCUUGUUAGCAGGUCCAAGUCUAGUACCUGACUUAGCUCAGAUUCUACUAAGAUCCAGGCACCAAAAAUGUACCUUCAUGUCAGAUAUAAAAAACACAUCACUGAUGGUGGAUGAUGAAAAAGAUUGAGACUAUAUUAGAUUUCUGUGGCCAAGAGAUCCCUUAAAUCCUGUUUUCCCAUUUUACAUCUUUAGGUUCAAGGUUGUUUUGUUUGAAGCCACCUGUUCUCAGUAUCUACUUAAUGCCACCAUUGUCCAUCACCUAACUGAUUUCCAAGAACAGGAGGACAGUAUUAAGAACAUAAAACAAGGAAUAUAUAUUGACAACCUACAGGGAACAAAUAAGCAUGAAGAAGAUCUAUUAGAACAAUACUGGCAGGUACAGAGAAUAAUUAAUAAGGCCCACCUGAUAUAAGAGAAUGGGUAACUAACAGUCCCAAACUACAAGAUCAACUUGAGAUAUACAAUGGUAUAUCUAAGAAACAAGACCAAGUUAAUCUGGAAACCAGGUACACAAACACACUUUCAAAAUCAGUGACUUUAAGGAUCCUGAUAAAAUAACAAAAAGAUCAUGCUUAAGUAUGGUGUCAAAACCAUUUGAUCCACAAGGCUUAUUGCUUUACGUAACAGUCAAGUCAAGAAUAUUUUUACAAGGCCUGUGGAAACUAAAAACAUCAUGGGAUCAGACUCUACCUGAUAAACUUUGUGAUCAACAGAAUCUACUUAACAAGGAACUCAAAACAGCAAACAAAACAGAAAUGCUUAGAACAACCAUAAUACAAGAGGAAACAGACUUGCAUAUUUUUAAUACCAGCAAUAAGAUAUGUGGAGUUUGUGUCUACAUAUGUAACAGUGGGUAAGGGAACUUGAUAAUAGGUAAAGCAAAGGUUGCCCCAUUAAAAAACCUCACCUUCCUUAAAUAGAACUAACUGCUGUCCUCUUAGCUGCUAGGCUAAUCACUUCAUCCAUGAAGCCUAUUAGGGUGUAAUUAAUGUAAGAAGCAUUAACUUAUUGUGUGACAACCAAAUCACUCUAUAUUAGUUACAAAGUCAGAAGACAUUACCCAUAUAUGUGGCCAGUAGUGUAAGAGAAAUCAACCAACUCAUUCCUAAUGUAAACAUAAAAUAUGUGACAACUAAAGAUGUUCCAGCAUAUCUCCUAACUCAGGGAAUAAAUAUAGAUGAGCUAAAUCAGUCCUCUCUGUGGUGGCAAAGACCCUCAUGGCUAGCCCACAAAAAUGAGUGGCCAAAAGUGCAAAUUAACAUGACUCAACCUACUGAGAUAAAUAAUUCUAAAUACAGUCACAACACCAGCUAAAUUAUUGGAAUACAGCAAAUAUAACUAGAGAUCAAAAAUAUUAGCCAAAAACUCCUUUAUUAACAGAAAGUGUUGAAGUCUUUCAAGAUCCAGUUCCUCCCAUGACUUCUGGCACCUAGCCAGAAACAUCUCCAAUAACUUUGCUUCUUCAUCUUUCCCUCCUUUAUUUCAACCUGAUGGCACCAUUGCCAUCUCAUCUAUUUCUAAAGCUGAACUCUUUACUCAAACCUUUGCUAAAAACACUACCUUCAAUAAUUCAGGGCUUGUUCCUCCCUUUCCUCCAUCCUCUGACUACUUCAUGUUACUUAUUAAAAUUCUUUGUAAUGAUGUUUUCCAUACUCUCGCUGACCUAAACCCUCGGAAGGCUUAUAAACCUGAUGGGGUCCCUCUUAUUGCUCUCCGAAACUGUACCUCCAUGCUUGCACCUUGCCUAGUCAAACUCUCUCAAGUUUGUCUGUCAACACCUACCUUCCCUUCUUCCUGGAAGUUUACUUACAUUCAGCUUGUUCCUAAAAAGGGUGACCAUUCUGAUCCCUUAAACUACUGUGUUAUUGCUUUAAUUUCGUGCCUAUCUAAAGUUUUUGAAUAUAUCCUCAACAGGAAGAUUCUUAAACUUAUAUCACCUCACAACCUUCUAUCUGAUUGCCAGUAUGGUUCCAUCAAGGCCACUCUGCUGGUGAUCUGGCUUUCCUUACUAAGUCUUGAUCAUCCUCAAAACUUUUGCUGUUGCCUUAGACAUAACAAAGGCUUUUGAUAGAACCUAGCACAAAGCUUUGAUUUCUAAACUAUCCUCCUAUGGGUUCUAUCUUUCUCUCUGUGGCUUUAUCUCAAGUUUCCUUUUUGACUGUUCUAUUGCUGCUGUGGUAGACAGUUACUGUUCUAAAAUCUAUUAACAGUGGUUUUCCUCAGGGUUCUGUUCUGUUACCCACUCUCUUCCUAUUAUUCAUCAAUGAUCUUCUAAAACAAAUUUCUUGUACUAUCCACUCCUACGCUGAUGAUACCACCCUGCACUUUUUCACGUCUUUUCAUAGACAUCCAACCUUUCAAGAAAUAAACAGUUCACACAGGGAAGCCACAAAAUGCCUGACUUCUGAUCUCACUAAAAUUUCUGAUUGGGACAGAGCAAACUUAGUAUUAUUCAAUGCCUCAAAAACUCAAUUCCUCCAUCUAUCAACUUGAAACAGCCUUCCAGACAACUAUCCACUCUCCUUCAAUGACAUUCAACUGCUCCCCCUCUUCUACACUGAACAUCCUCAGUCUGUCCCUUACUUAUAAUCUAAACUGGAAACUUCACAUCUCAUCUCUAGCUAAAACAGCUUCUGUGAAGUUAGGUGUUCUGAGUUGUCUCUGCCAGUUUUUCUUCCCUCCCCCCCACCUCACCCCUGCUGCUAACUCUGUACAGGGGCCUUAUCUGUCCAUGUAUGGAGUAUGCUUUACAUGUAUGGGGGGGUUCCACUCAUACUGCUCUUUUAGACGGGGUGAAAUCAAAAGCUUUUCAUCUUAUCAACUCUCCUCUAACUGACUGUCUUCAGCCUCUUUCUCAUCACCGCAGUGUUGCAUCACUUGCUAUCUUUAUUGCUAUUUUCAUGCCAACUGCUCUUCUAUUCUUGCUAAUUGCAUGCCUUCCCUACUCCUACUGCCUCACUGCAUAAGUCUUUCUUCUUUCUCUCACCCCUAUUCUAUCCACCUCUCUAAUGCAAAAGUUAACCAAUAUUCUCUAUCAUUCAUCCCUUUCUCUGGUAAACUCUGAACUCCCUGCCUCCUGUAUUUCCAUCUUCCUAUGAUUUCAACUCUUUCAAGAGACUGGUUUCAAGACACAUAUCCUGCAUUUUUUAUUAAUGCUUUUGACUCUGUAAAGGGACUGGCACCUCACUGGGCCUUUCCUUUUUGUUGCAAUUUUUGUUGCCCUUGGUUGGUGUCCCUCCUACAUAAAAAAAAAAAAAAAAAAAAAAAAAUGGGUACUUCAUUAUAUAGAUAACCCCAAGGCUAAGUCAAAGGCUUUGGCUAUAUCAAUACUGCCUAAUCAUUAAGGUGGGAGAAGUAGAGGCAGCAGAACAUAAAUUAAUUAAAUUAAUACAAAAGGAAGAAUUUUUUAAAUACACCUUAUUCAUAAGAAAGGCUGAUAGAUUAUCAUAUACAAACAUAAUACUCUAUGGGUUGUACCUAGAAAAUGACAUCAUAAAAUGUGGUGGGAGAAUACAACUAGCUAAUGUGCCUGAGUCAACCAAACAUCCUAUUUUGCUACCUGGAUAUCACCACAUGACCAACCUACUAAUACAAAGAUGUCAUGAACAAAACUACCAUUAUAGCACCAACUUUAUCAUGGCUUAUAUGAGGCAGAAGUGAUUAGAAAAUGUAAGACAUGCCAGAAAUGUAAAGGCAAACCAUUCUCUCCUGCAGAUGCACUUCUACUUCCACAAUUUAGAACAUAAGUGAACCCUUUAGCAUAACAGGACUGGAUUUUACUAGUGCUCUAAAGGUUAAAGGAGAGGCUAGUCAGGUUGCCAGGGCAUAUAUCAUUCUGUUCACCUGUGCCACUACCAGGGCCAUCCAUUUAGAACUGGUAUCUGAUUUAACAAAUCAAAACUUUAUGAAUGCCUUUAGAUGAUUUACAAGUAGACAGGGUCUACCACAACUUAUAUUAAGUAAUAAUGCAACAACAUUUGUUAUGGCUGCCAAUUAGCCAUGUCAAGGAAAUUAUGGAAGACCCUCAUGUAAAUAGCCAUUUAACAUCAGUCAACUGUGAAUGAAAAUUUAUUACAGCUUAAGCCCCCUGGUUUCAUAUGGGAGAGGUUAAUAGGGAGUGUAAAAACUGAAUUAAGGAAAGUCUUUUGUCACAUUUGAUGAACUGCACACUAUCAUAUGAGAAUUAAGAUCCACUAUAAAUGAUAGACCCUUAACUUAUGUAAGCAGUGAUAUCAGUGAACUCAUAUUAGAAUUAAGAUCCGCUAUAAAUGAUAGACCCUUAACUUAUGUAAGCAGUGAUAUCAGUGAACUCAAUGCCAUAACCCCUUCACAGUUAUUAAGAGACAAAAGAUUGAAAUCUUUUCCUAAUCAGCUUUCAUUAGAAGAAAUAUCUGACCCAUCUUAGGGUUCUUCACAAAAUUUAAAGGAGACUCAAUUAUAAAAGUAAAUUUAUAAAUGAUAUAUGGAAAAAGGUGGGUCUCAGAGUCCCAUAGGUGCAUAGUUCCCAAAGAAGGCAUGAUAUGGCCACAAGCCAUGGACGUCAUCCUCAUUCAUGAUGAUGGGCUGUGGUUCUGGUGAAGACUUGGUAAAAUCACUGGCCUACAUGAAGGACAGGACAGGUUAGUAAGGGCAGUGUAUGUAAAGACCUCCUCAGGCACAACCACUUGACCCAUUGCCAGAUUGUAUUCACUCAAACAAAGUCAGGUGGAUGUAGCACCCUCCACUGAUAAUAUCCAGCAGCAGGGGUCUGUCUGUAACCAGUGACCCCUGCAACAAAUGGCAGCAUGCUCUGCAGACUUAUGGAAAUAAAAAAUUGAAACCAGCCAAAUUUAAUGUCAAGUUUACCCCAUGUAAAUAUUUAUAAUAUAAACUAUUUCUCUUGGUGGUGGGAGUAUGUUGGAACUAUUGUUCGUGGUGAUGGUCAUAACAAUCUCAAUCUCAAUAAAAAUGUAUGAACCAAUGAGGAUCCAGGUUGGGUGGAUUCACACUUCUUGAACACCUCGCACUUGCUCUCUCUCUCUCUCUCUCUCUCUCUCUCUCUCUCUCUCUCUCUCUCUCUCUCUCUCUCUCUCUCUCU